Peromyscus leucopus (white-footed mouse) is the source of this 2892-nucleotide long non-coding RNA. RefSeq lists it as uncharacterized. The record is from RefSeq and is a predicted model, not a curated record. NCBI's taxonomy places the organism in Eukaryota, Metazoa, Chordata, Mammalia, Rodentia, Cricetidae. The transcript is spliced from 3 exons.
GUGUCUGGCAUGCACCAGCAUUUUGCAUUGAGAGGUUUAAAUAUAAAAGAUGUUUUCUGAAGUAAACCAUAAAUAAACCUUGGACAGAAAUAUAGGAUUACAACAGCUCAAAUUUUGGUAUCCAAAUCAAUGGAAGGAAUUGUUGUUCUAUAUGAUUAUUUUGACAGGACAAGUACAGAUCCCCAAGAGAAAUCACAAAUUAAGCCUUUGGGAACCAUUAGUGGAAACUAUCCUUAUGGAAUCUGAUGUUACAGUGAGUCUGACAGCAUGUACAGCAGUUAACCAGCUCCAUGGCUUUUCUUUCAGAAAUGUCCUUCCUUAUGCAAAGGACUGAUUGAAAUAUCAGCUCCAGGAAGCCUUCCCUGUUUCCCAGACAAAAGUAAUCAUCCACAUCUGCAAAUCUUGGCAGUGCUACUGCUGUUGGAAGAGUGCUUUGGUAUGCCUGGAGUUGCAGUCUCUUCACCUACCCUCUCUGAGUAAACAAGCUGAAAUAAAUAGGACGUUAAGAGUUUUAUCAACUCCUUUGCUCCCAGAAAGUGUAAUUUCAUCACAGAAGAAACAAAUAGAAAGAAGGAAAUGGCAUCAGGCAAGUCUGAUCUAGAAAAAUAUGAAAUUCCGAAGAGCAUGAAGACUGAGUCAUACAUUAUGUAGGGGGAAAUAAUGAAGGCUGGUUGAAAUCAGGCAGCAUGAAUCUUGAUGCUUUAGGAAAAUCAGGUAAAACAAAGAAUGCGACCAGAGAUUUCAGAAGAGCAUGUGACUGAGUGACCAAAAACUAUCCAAACUGACCAUGCCAAGCACAAACGUGAUAGUGCUUUUCACUGUAAGUUUGGCUGACCAAAAAGAAAUUACAUUUAGCUAAGUUUGCGAGACCAGGAAGCAAGCAAUUGCAUAACUGAAUGUGUACCUCCAAUCUUAGUUCAAUUUCAUUUUGAUUAGUCACAGAAGAGUUUGAGAAUAGGCACAAGAAUUUUCUGGCAUAAAUUUCAGAAGCUUUAAAAUAUGCAUGCAUCACUUAGACACAAAAGUGAAAUUAGUCUUCAACUGUCUGGAUUUUAUAUAGUCUGUAUCUUAUUUACUUCUUUGGCAGUAUAGAUACAAAUACAGUGUGUUUUCCUAUAAAUAACCAAACUGUGUUAUGCAUUCUAUAUUCUUCAAGUUUUUAGUCUCUGGAUCAUGAAAUCAAGGACAUAUUUCAGAUUCAGCCCCCUGAAGCUAGACCAGAUUACCUGCAGACAGAAUCUUUUUCAGAAAGCCAGCAGCAGACAGGAUGCUGAGCUGUAUCCUGGCUUCAACACAGCAUUGAGAUACUUAAGGCGACGUCAACACAGCAUGCAUUCCAUCCAUGCAGGGAAUGUGAUGCUAUAGCAUUGAAUUUCACUUAAAAAAGACCAACAGGACUACUUGCCUCCCCCCUCCCCGUGCAUAUUUUAUUUAUUGGUACCUAGAUUGGGACCCAAUUUUUAGAUAAACAUUAUAAUGAAGAAACAAUAUGGAUGGGUUGCAUCACCUGUCAAAGAUGUGAAAAACAACAAAUGUAUUUCUUCAUUUAAAAAUUCUUAUCAACAAGAAAAUUUCUAAACUACAAAAGACCAAUAUAGCCUGUUCAAUGAUGUUGUUUAGAAGUGAAUGUACACAUUUAACAAUCUAUAAUUUGGUUUAGAGUUAGCUACUCCUUAGCUGAAGCUCACAGUGUUAUAAGCAACUUAUAAAAUAUUAAGAUGACUUGAACAAAGCACAGAUUUGCUUUAGAAUUUGAAACUUACCCCAUUCUGGUAAUGGCUUGUGAUGUUUGUAUGUCUCAACUGGUAUAACGACAGCCACACAGAUCAUUAAGAAACUCUGAACAAUUUCAUUGUAUUCAAGGGAAAAUUUUCACUUUAAAAAAUGCAAUGGCAGCUAUCAAAAUACUAAAACUUUCUAUCAAUAUAGGCCUUUUAUAGCCUAUAGAUGCCCUGUGGUUGCUUCGUCUCACUGUUCCAAAAAAAUAAUGACAAUAAGUUUGAGAAAAUCAAUUAAUUUCAGAAAUAGAGAUUGGUUUCAUCAGCACCAAGGAGGUGGAGCAGGAGCUUCUCCACUGGAAGCUAAGCACCUACUUAGAGGAUCGGGAGACCAGAAUGCUUGGAGGACAGUGCUCUGAAGAGAGGUCUGUGGAAGCACAGCCAAGAGCAAAGGAUUGCAGAGGCCAAAGGAAGGGAAGACACUGCCAUUCCAGGAAGGAGUGGAGUCCCGGACACUGGAAGGGAGAUGAGAGAAAUAAACUGUAGGUGGGUUUGCCUCAGAGGAGGCAACAAGACUAUGAUUAUAAAGCCAUAGUGAUUAGAGAAGGCCCAAGGCAAACUUUCUCUGUCUUGGGUUGCUAUCAACCCUACCGCCUUGCUUUACCCCAGAGUACACAUGGUUAAGAGAAGGAGAAACUUUGCCCUUCAGGCUCUCCUUUUCUUCAGACCCCUCUUGGAAAUGUUUUGUACCUCUCUGAAGUAAAAUUCUUGAAUUGACUCUAUCUACCUGGAACCUACGUAUUUGUGCCUCGCGACUCUGAGUGAUCCAUCUGUGUCUGUAACAUCUCCACUAUCCAAGUUUGAACGUCUUUACUAUCAAAAAUAGCUUUUUCCAACUUCAGUCUUUUGUGACUGAAACUGCUGCAGAUUUGAUUAAAAGGGAUGUCAGUUGCUUCUCUGAAAGCACCCUCUCUACACCCUCGGGACAUCUCUAUCUCAACAUCUCCUUCUCAAAGUAUGCGACAGCAUCUCCUUGACUACAGAAAAGUGUGUUGCUAUGAAGCAAUUUUCCAUGCUCAUUCCAUGAUAAUAGCACCAUCAACACAAACAGUUGUAUGGUAUAAUUGAUUCCUAUCUGUGAUUAGCUAGGGGAUCUUUGUUAAAACCCAGCAGA